Non-coding RNA from Marasmius sp. AFHP31, 80 nucleotides. The record is from the annotation of a GenBank genome assembly. NCBI's taxonomy places the organism in Eukaryota, Fungi, Basidiomycota, Agaricomycetes, Agaricales, Marasmiaceae.
UCCCCCUUAGCUCAGUGGUAGAGCGCUUCACUAGUAUUCUGUACAUGAAGAGGUCAGUCGUUCAAGUCGGCUAGGGGGAA